CAGUCGCCGCGGGAAUACGUAGGGUGCGAGCGUUAAUCGGAAUUACUGGGCGUAAAGCGUGCGCAGGCGGUUUUGUGAGACAGGCGUGAGAUCCCCGGGCUCAACCUGGGAAUGGCGCUUGUGACUGCAAAGCUAGAGUGCGGCAGAGGGGGAUGGAAUUCCGCGUGUAGCAGUGAAAUGCGUAGAUAUGCGGAGGAACACCAGUGGCGAAGGCGGCUCACUGGACCUGUACUGACGCUCAUGCACGAAAGCGUGGGGAGCAAACAGGAUUAGAUACCCGUGUAGUCCCUGUCUCUUAUAU
RNAcentral lists this ribosomal RNA (301 nucleotides) under uncultured bacterium. RNAcentral describes it as "partial 16S ribosomal RNA". It matches the Rfam family "Bacterial small subunit ribosomal RNA", at positions 509 to 809 of the family's 1533-position model. The record is from RNAcentral.